This 430-nucleotide ribosomal RNA is filed under the name bacterium. RNAcentral describes it as "partial 16S ribosomal RNA". It matches the Rfam family "Bacterial small subunit ribosomal RNA", at positions 355 to 776 of the family's 1533-position model. The record is from RNAcentral. RNAcentral also lists the same sequence under 1 other name.
UGGGGAAUAUUGGACAAUGGGCGCAAGCCUGAUCCAGCCAUGCCGCGUGUGUGAAGAAGGCCUUUUGGUUGUAAAGCACUUUAAGCGAGGAGGAGGCUACUUGGAUUAAUACUCUAGGAUAGUGGACGUUACUCGCAGAAUAAGCACCGGCUAACUCUGUGCCAGCAGCCGCGGUAAUACAGAGGGUGCGAGCGUUAAUCGGAUUUACUGGGCGUAAAGCGUGCGUAGGCGGCUUCUUAAGUCGGAUGUGAAAUCCCUGAGCUUAACUUAGGAAUUGCAUUCGAUACUGGGAAGCUAGAGUAUGGGAGAGGAUGGUAGAAUUCCAGGUGUAGCGGUGAAAUGCGUAGAGGUCUGGAGGAAUACCGAUGGCGAAGGCAGCCAUCUGGCCUAAUACUGACGCUGAGGUACGAAAGCAUGGGGAGCAAACAGG